Molecule: ribosomal RNA, 349 nt
Filed under: uncultured bacterium
Lineage: Bacteria
Description: partial 16S ribosomal RNA
Rfam family: Bacterial small subunit ribosomal RNA
Source: RNAcentral
CCUACGGGGGGCUGCAGUCGAGAAUCAUUCACAAUGGGGGAAACCCUGAUGGUGCGACGCCGCGUGGGGGAAUGAAGGUCUUCGGAUUGUAAACCCCUGUCAUGUGGGAGCAAAUUAAAAAGAUAGUACCACAAGAGGAAGAGACGGCUAACUCUGUGACAGCAGCCGCGGUACUACAGAGGUCUCAAGCGUUGUUCGGGAUCACUGGGCGUAAAGCGUGGGUAGGCUGUUUCGUUAGUCGUGUGUUAAAGGCGCGGGCUCAACCCGCGGAAGGCAAAUGAUACUGGGAGACUAGAGUAAUGGAGGAGGAACCGGAAUUCUCGGUGUAGCAGUGAAAUGCGUAGAUAUC